UUCCGGUUGAUCCUGCCGGACCCGACUGCUAUCAGAGUGAGAUUAAGCCAUGCGAGUUAACGUAGCAAUACGUGGCGCACGGCUCAGUAACACGUAGUCAACAUGCCCAGAGGACGUGGAUAACCUCGGGAAACUGAGUCUAAACCGCGAUAAGUGAGGAUUUCUGGAAUGGUUCCUGACUAAAAUCUAUAUGGCCUCUGGAUUGGACUGCGGCCGACCAGGCUGUUGGUGAGGUAAUGGCCCACCAAACCUGUAACCGGUACGGGCUCUGAGAGGAGGAGCCCGGAGAUGGGCACUGAGACAAGGGCCCAGGCCCUAUGGGGCGCAGCAGGCGCGAAACCUCUGCAAUAGGCGAAAGCCUGACAGGGUUACUCUGAGUGACUUUCGCUAAGAAAGUCUUUUGGCACCUCUAAAAAGGGUGCAGAAUAAGGGGUGGGCAAGUCUGGUGUCAGCCGCCGCGGUAAUACCAGCACCCCGAGUGGUCGGGACGAUUAUUGGGCCUAAAGCAUCCGUAGCCGGUUCUGCAAGUCCCCCGUUAAAUCCAGCUGCUCAACAGAUGGGCCGCGGAGGAUACUACAGAGCUAGGAGGCAGGAGAGGCAAGCGGUACUCAGUGGGUAGGGGUAAAAUCCGUUGAUCCAUUGAAGACCACCAGUGGCGAAGGCGGCUUGCCAGAAUGCGCUCGACGGUGAGGGAUGAAAGCUGGGGGAGCAAACCGGAUUAGAUACCCGGGUAGUCCCAG
This 740-nucleotide ribosomal RNA is filed under the name uncultured archaeon. RNAcentral describes it as "bacterial SSU rRNA". It matches the Rfam family "Archaeal small subunit ribosomal RNA", at positions 1 to 750 of the family's 1478-position model. The record is from RNAcentral.